UGGGGAAUUUUCCGCAAUGGGCGCAAGCCUGAUGGAGCAAUACCGCGUGAGGGAGGAAGGCUUUUGGGUUGUAAACCUCUUUUCUCAAGGAAGAAGUCCUGACGGUACUUGAGGAAUCAGCAUCGGCUAACUCCGUGCCAGCAGCCGCGGUAAUACGGUGGAUGCAAGCGUUAUUCGGAAUUAUUGGGCGUAAAGCGUCCGCAGGUGGUAACGCAAGUGGGGUGUGAAAGCCGCCAGCUCAACUGGCGGAGGCCAUCCCAAACUGCGUCACUUGAGGCCUGUAGAGGUAUGUGGAAUUGCCGGUGUAGUGGUGAAAUGUGUAGAGAUCGGCAGGAGCACCCAGGGGGAAACCAGCAUACUGGACAGGUCCUGACACUCAGGUGCGACAGCGUGGGGAGCGAACCGGAUUAGAUACCCCCGUAGUCC
RNAcentral lists this ribosomal RNA (426 nucleotides) under uncultured prokaryote. RNAcentral's name for it is "bacterial SSU rRNA". It matches the Rfam family "Bacterial small subunit ribosomal RNA", at positions 355 to 796 of the family's 1533-position model. The record is from RNAcentral.